RNAcentral lists this long non-coding RNA (4431 nucleotides) under Nilaparvata lugens (brown planthopper). RNAcentral describes it as "uncharacterized LOC120350042". The record is from RNAcentral. Lineage: Eukaryota; Metazoa; Arthropoda; Insecta; Hemiptera; Delphacidae.
GUCAAAAAAAUGUGCCACUACAGUUUAUCAUUCAAUUUGAUAAAAUUGCGAUUUGGGAUAGGAACUGGUAUUGAAAAGAAAUAAACUAUUACUCAAUUGAACAUCAUGAGACCUUGAAUAGUAAAUAGAUGCGCCACUCAACUACUGUAUACUGUUUAUUGCUAGAUCACGUCUAUUCAAGCCAACGCUAAUCUGACAGUACUUCUAUAGUGAGAUGAUCAAACUCACUGCUGGUGUGUUUACUGUAGGAAUUCUCAGUAUUUUUCAACCCGGUUUAUCUCAAGAUUGCAAGUAUUACGGCUCAUAUUGUGAUGAUGAUAAACUGUGUUGUGGAGGAUGCUGUAUAGGAAAUACUUGUGUUCUAACUACCAGAUCAUGUCAGAUUCGCAGUGACAUUUGUAUGGAGCGGUAUUGUCCUCCUGGAUUUGAGUGCCACGCUUACAGACCACGUGACUGUCCUGGAUGCUAUGAAAGUUUUCUUUGCUUACCAUCGAAAAGUUGAAAGUAACAAAAAGAAAAAGUGUCAAUUUUUAAACUGUAUUCUAUCGCAAAAUAAAUAUAUUAAAUACUUAAUAAGCUUAAAAUUAAGAGGAUUUGUCUAUUAAUAACAAUAUUUCAACGUAAAAUAAAGAAUCACAGAUUCUGUAAGUUUAAUUUGAUAAGAGGGUUUGAUUGAUAAUGUCUACACAAUCUAUGAAUUGUAAAUAGGUAGUAACGGAUUUGAAAAACACUUGGUGGGAAUACCCUCUAAUUCCUGAAUAUUUGAAUCGUGUGGAAAAUGUAGAAAAAUUUUACCUCUUCUAGCUUGAGAAGCAUAGGCCUACUUUCAAUUCAACUUGCUUCGAUAAACUUACAUCAAACUAAAAAAAUGGUUUCUAUUGAAUUAUGAUUUCCCUUGUUAAUAAUAUUAUUUUAGUUGAAUUUAAUGCUUAGAGACUGACGCACUGAGUGCGGGAAGAUUUAUAAAAUCAGCUUUAUAAUCGCCCCGACUCAUUCUGCAUUGGUGUGUUCAAGGAUUGAUAAACAACUGAUGAAUUUAGAAUUAUGCAAGAUAAGAUCACUUGAAUGUUUUUACAUUGAAUAUACAGUAAUAAAAACACUUUUGAGGUGGAAUCACUUACUUUUUAGCAGUGACGAUGUUUUGACUCUGUUUCCUCAGUCUGAAAAUUACCAGCAACAGGUCGAAACGUCGUCAUUGCUCUAAAGUAAUUUAAAUUUUAAAUUAUUAGUGUAAAAGAAUGGAUCCAUAACACAGUAAUAUUCCAGUCGCUUCUGAGCGGUUUUGUUUAAACCUUGAAUAAGAAAGUGAAUUUAAUUGUCUUUUUUCUUUAGGGCUACUUUUAAUUAAGUGAAUUUAAUUCUAGGAGGAAAUAACAAAACUCAGAAUAUAUAAAUAAUAUUUUAUUCACUAAAAAUAAAAAGUAAUUAGUCGUCUAUAUCUGGAAUUCAACAAAUAAAUUACAUAAGGUAAGAUGGAUUGGUUUAAAACACUGAACAUAAUUCAACUCUAACGACAAUUUAUGGUUUAGAGUUUUGGUUCUCCACACAAAGAGCACAAAUACACAAGCAAAAUAGUUUUACUGCCGGAAACAAUCACAUGAUCACAACCAUCGCCUCGUUUCAAACUCAAACAUUGUUUCGAAGUUCACCUUUCCUCAACCCAAGUCAUUUUUGAAUUAAUUCCUAUCAAUAAUACAUCUUCUUGGGAUAGAUACAUUUCAACUAUUCACAUGUAGGAUUUGGUUUUGUCUAAAGCGAAAUACAUUCUCUCAACAGUCUUAUUUGCCAUAUAGGAAUUUGGUAAAAUUUUCCAUAUUGUAGCACCAUGUAUGAUUAUAAUUGAUUAGGUACAGUUUCAGGACAAUUCUACAGUUUUAGGUGACAACUUACACAUUUCAAACUAAAUUGUUGUCAAAAUUAAGUGAGUUUUCAAGUCUAUAAGAUGAAGCAAUUUAACUGAUUCGAAUUCGUUAUCCUAUUCAAGUAUAAGAGUAACUGCAAAAUAUAAUAUUAAGAUUCGUUGAGUUAUGUGGGAAUUAAGUUUCUCUAAAUUUAAUCAUUUAUGUUAGAGUUAAUUGAAUUUUAUGUCUUCAACGAUUCCAAGACAUGUUUAUGAAUUCCGUAAUUUUGAUUGAUAACAGGCAACCAAAGAAGAAAAUUGGUUGAUGAAAGAUUAUGGAUUAAAAACUAAAUGAGUGUAUUACAUGAUUGAGUUACCAUACAUGGAUUAUGUACAACAUUAAUUAGUGCAUCAGUAAAACACGUUUUACGAAAUCGAGUUUCUCCAUUUAUUUAAGUUAAUAUAUUUAUUUAUAGCAGAUCAAUACUGUUUUAUUGAGAAAGAUGGCUUAGAUUCGAUUUUAGAAAUUAAUAUUCUAGAAUAGGGAUUUCUGGACAAAAAAAAAACGUUAUUGGCCGAAAUUAUUACAAGAAAGUAGUUUUUAUCAAGACCAAUUAAAAUGUAAAUGAAUCCCACCCGUAUCUCAGCAUGUAUACUUAUAAUAUUCUACAUUCAUUAACUAUUUUCUAAAUAUCAGCAGAUAAUAAUUAUACCCAACACAUAUAAUUAAACCAUAGUCCUAAAUAAUAUUACAAUUGAUCGGCACGUAUUAUUCUCUAUAUCCCUGUAUUAUAUGUAUAACUGAGAAUCUGAACAAAUGAAUACAUUUGUAAUUAUGAAUGAUGUAUUAAGAAUACAAAUUAAGAAUAUUAAUACUGUACAAGAAUUAAUAAAUGCACGAAACUGAAAAGAUAAUUAUUCCUAUCAAUCAGUAGACUCCUGGUUUCAAGUUAGGUGUGAAAAAUAAUUUGUGCAGAAAGACAAUAUUGAGUCUAUUAUAAUUAAAGUUCUAAAUGAAUUAUUUUAUACAAAUUCACAAUAAUAUAUCCUAACUUUAAUCUUCAUAGUUUAAUCUAAAACUGAUAAUUUCUCAUAAUAAUAUUCAGCGGGACAGUUCAUUAAUCAUAAUAUUAAAGAUGCUUCUUCGCUUGUUACAAACCCUUCUAUUCAAUUAUAAAUUUCCUAUUCCGUUCCAUACAAGUUAAAGAUGAUCAGAGUAGGUAUGGACUUACAGAUAUCUCACAAUAAUCAAUUAUAAUAGUUUUUGUUACAAGUGAAUGCACACCGCAAUUAAUACAUAUUUCACUUUAACUAAUUCACCAAAUUUCAACUAUUUACAGGUUAAAUAAUAUAUUAUAUACAGGUUGGUAUAUAUAUAUGUAGGCAGUAUAUGGUUCAGCAUUACAUAGAAUCCUCUUUUGAAAUAGAUGGCAGUGAAGUGUGUAGGACUAAACGACUCAAAACUAUGUCUUUACUGAUUAGAGGUAAUUGAAUUUGUCAUCGAGUGUAUACGGCAAUUUCCGAUACUAAAUACGGGAGGUUCACAGUUUAAAAAAAAUUGAAUACUCUUCACUUAUCUAUUCUAACAGUUUUAUUUGGGCAAUAUUCUACAGCUCUGAUCAAUUUCAUAGAUACAUUGUCUACAGAUCAUUGUUAUAAUAUCAUUAUCAUCAUCAUCACCACUACAAAAUUUCAGUUUUCUUGAUUGAAUUUUACUUUCAACUUUGUGCGUCUGAUAGAAGUUUGUACACAAUUAAAAUUUGUUUUUAAAAUCUUCCAAGAACCUGUUGGUUUGAAUAAGUUUAUGGAAAUUGAGGGCAGUAUUUACUAACAUAAAGUACACACAACACUAUAACAUAAUCAUUUUCAUUUUGAAUUCAAUAGGUUUUGUAGUACGUUAAGCUAGUUAUACUAGUGAACGUUCUAGCUGGCAGCUUCAGAGCGGUUUCUUCAAAUUUGACUUAAAAGAGCUAGCUGUUAAAUUGGCACGCCAAAAUAAUUUAUAAAUUCUAGACACACUCUUGCCAAGUUAUGUAUUGUAUCAAACAAAGUCAUCUAUGGAAAAUCUAGCAAUCUAGGAAUUAAAAAAUAACACAUGCAUACAUCAAACUAAUUAAAAAACACAUUUUGUACAAAUCUAAAUACGUUUCUGAAAAUAGGACAUUUUUUAUAAUCAUUUAGAUCAAACCUAAUAAUCGUACUGAAUUCAUCAUGACAUUGAAAGAUCUCACUAAACCACAAAAAUCAUCAAUGUUUUACUGAAUACUGUUAAAUAUAAUAUUAUUUUCAUCUGAACUAUACAGACUGAUUCAAUAAAGCAAAUAUGAGCAUGCUGCUCACGAUAGCAUUUGAUUAAUAAUAGCAUUUGAACCGUUCUAAGUAUUGUAAAUUAUGUAUUACAAGUCUAGAAAGUAAAUUUAUACAAAUAAUUCAUUUAAAUUUUCGCAUUUCUCAUAUGUCACAAUAAUUGAAAACCUGCUCAAUUUCAAUUAAAAUGUUUAUAAAAUUUGUGACUGUCAGUUAAUUUUUAGUCUAAAGAAUGUAGCAGAGAGAAAAUAAUUCUAUUAAUAAAUUAUAACUGAUUUUGAAAA